GCCCGGUUAGCUCAAUCGGUAGAGCGUGAGACUCUUAAUCUCAAGGUUGCGGGUUAGUUACCUCCUUCCAGUCC
Molecule: non-coding RNA, 74 nt
Organism: Xylaria sp. CBS 124048
Lineage: Eukaryota; Fungi; Ascomycota; Sordariomycetes; Xylariales; Xylariaceae
Source: the annotation of a GenBank genome assembly